CCUACGGGAGGCAGCAGUGGGGGAUAUUGCACAAUGGGGGAAACCCUGAUGCAGCGACGCCGCGUGGGCGAAGAAGUAUUUCGGUAUGUAAAGCCCUAUCAGCAGGGAAGAAGAAAUGACGGUACCAGAGUAAGAAGCACCGGCUAAAUACGUUCCAGCAGCCGGGGUAAUACGUAUGGUGCAAGCGUUAUCCGGAUUUACCGGGUGUAAAGGGAGCGGAGGCGGCACGGCAAGUCUGAUGGGAAAGCCCGCGGCCCACCCGCGGGACUGCUUGGGGAAUUCCCGGGCUGGAGUGCCGGAGAGGUAAGCGGAAUUCCUAGUGUAGCGGUGAAAUGCGUAGAUAUUAGGAGGAACACCAGUGGCGAAGGCGGCCUACUGGACGGUAACUGACGCUGAGGCUCGAAAGCGUGGGGAGCAAACAGGAUUAGAUACCCUUGUAGUC
This 442-nucleotide ribosomal RNA is filed under the name uncultured bacterium. Its description in RNAcentral is "partial 16S ribosomal RNA". It matches the Rfam family "Bacterial small subunit ribosomal RNA", at positions 338 to 795 of the family's 1533-position model. The record is from RNAcentral.